Molecule: ribosomal RNA, 253 nt
Filed under: uncultured bacterium
Lineage: Bacteria
Description: partial 16S ribosomal RNA
Rfam family: Bacterial small subunit ribosomal RNA
Source: RNAcentral
UACGUAGGGUGCAAGCGUUAAUCGGAAUUACUGGGCGUAAAGAGCGCGCAGGCGGUCGUUCAAGUCGCGUGUGAAAGCCCCCGGCUCAACUGGGGAGGGUCACGCGAUACUGAUCGACUCGAAGGCAGGAGAGGGAAGUGGAAUUCCCGGUGUAGUGGUGAAAUGCGUAGAUAUCGGGAGGAACACCAGUGGCGAAGGCGACUUCCUGGCCUGUUCUUGACGCUGAGGCGCGAAAGCUAGGGGAGCAAACGGG